RNAcentral lists this ribosomal RNA (93 nucleotides) under uncultured bacterium. RNAcentral's name for it is "partial 16S ribosomal RNA". The record is from RNAcentral.
AGGUAGAAGGCUCGACGGGUACGUAAACUUCCUUUCUCAGAGAAGAUGUAAUGACGGUAUCUGGAAGGAAAUAAGCAUCGGACUAACUCUGUC